RNAcentral lists this long non-coding RNA (1553 nucleotides) under Marmota monax (woodchuck). The record is from RNAcentral. Lineage: Eukaryota; Metazoa; Chordata; Mammalia; Rodentia; Sciuridae.
AUUAGAGGGAAUAAAGGUACACUGGGAAUUAAGCAAUUUUACAUUUACAUAACAACCAUUUAUGACUCUGGGGGAUAUGAAACAAUAGAGAAAAUUCUCAGCACAGGGCUGAGGUUUCCACUGCAGGAUUCCCAGGACCAUUAAUGAAAAUCGUGUGGCUGAAUCUUGUCACAUCUGCUGAGAACUUAGCCUGAAGUGUUCUCAUUAUGCAAACUUUGGGAGCUCACAAACAGUGGAUUGAGUUAGCAUGCUCUCUUCUGGGUGCCAGUCUUGCCCAUAUUCUUUUUGUCCCAUUCAUUGCAACAUGCAGUUUUCUUUUAUUUUGUUUUAUUUCCCUCAGGUUAUUUCUGAGCCAUAAGUGGGAACAGCAAGGAACAGAAGGAGAAAAUAAGUUAACAAUGACUAUCAGCUUCAUGGGAUCCACUGCCACUUGUAGGAUGCUGUCUUUCAUAGGAAGAACCAUUUAAAUUGGGCUUUGCAUGGUGCAACCAAUUAAAUUGCUCUCAUUUUCAGCAUCUGAACUAGAUUUUUCAUGAGAACAGAGCCAAUGUCAGAGUUCAUCAUAAGGGGGCAUUAAAGAGAGUACCAGGGUGUGGUUCUCUGUACAGCAUAAACUCCACCAUCCAUCUGUGAGUGAAGAUGGAGCCCUGAACCACCUCCUCCUCCAAUGUCCUGGAAGAUCCCAGAGGAUGGAGCUUAUAAAAUGGCUUACCUUGGUACCAUGUGCUUGGAAAACAAAGAGCACUAUUUAGCUCUUUCUUCUACCCUUGAAGUCUGUAUCUCCCAUCAUUUUAAUGCCUCAUGUUGCACUUCUAACAUGGGCACACCCAGGCAUGCAACAAUGGGGAUGGCCCUGCUCAAUGGCACACCAAGCUUCAGAUAAUUUAAUCGUAUCACUGAUGCUAGGACCUGGAUCAAAAUCAAGCAGAAAAUUCCCUCUCAAGAUCUGAAAUGUUUUUCUUUUCCCCAGUAAAUUCACCUCAUUUUCAGAAGUUAUAGCCAAAGUUUUCCUUUGGUUUGGUUUGGUUUGGUUUUUAGCAUGUUAGGGAAAUAGCCAGACAACUCAUUGUUCAAGUGCAAAAAUGCUCUGAGAGAGAGAGAGACAUUAUUUAUUUAAAAAAUUAUUCUAGAUGUGAUUCUGAAUUUUGAUUAAGAAAUAAGAACGUGCAGUUAUUCUUUCCUUCUUUCUAAACAUUUGUUGAAUUCAUGAUCUAUGUCACAAAGUGAAAAAACAUAACAUACAUAGAAGAGAUGCAAGGUUCUGAAAAGAAAUAAACAAUAGGCCAGAAUCCAAAAAUAAAACCUCUUAAACUGCCAAAGGGAUGCGAUGACACUUAGAACUCGCCUAGUGAAUUGAGUCUCCAGAGAAAAGUGUCAGAUUCCAAAGUUCAAUCUCCAACUUCCUAAGGAGGGAUUUUCCAAAUUCCCAACUGCUGGCUCACAGUAAUAAAACAUAAGAAAUAGAGUUGGGGAUUGGCUUAGUGGUAGGGCACUUGCCUUGCAUGCACAAAACCUUGGAUUCAAGUACAGUAAAAAGAAAUAAGAGAAAAAGC